UAUACUCGGUCUCUAGCGACACGGAUCAUUUUAUUGGCGGCAUCCAACAUAAGCCAAGGAGAAGGUUGUGCAUUAGAUGGGUAGCUGGAAACAUUUACAGAUAAAACGAGGGUAUCUAAGAGUUUAAGGAAGCUAACACAGUCAUAACAAACAAGAGCACUUGUUUAGUUAGAGAUUAUUUAUAUCGAAAAAGGAAAGAAAAGACGAACCUGAGAAGAAACUUAAGAGUCGAGAGAUCUCCAACCAACUGUUUGGUUUUUGGGCUAACUCUGUGCCAUACAGAAUCUAGUUGUCUUCGCACUAUAACGUCAAAACUACGAUGUAAGGCAGACUCGAUAUUCCAAUCCUCCAUAUCCAGAUAAGCAGAAUUUAGUCUUCGUAAUUCUCUCAUUGUACUUUCUAUACAGGUUAAUAGGCAUGACUGAAUUGUUUUUUGGGAAUCACUUAGGUUAACGUUCAACUCUACCACAUUUGCAGGGCUUUUUUCAAGGGACUCUGCCACAACUACAUGAAAUCUGGGAUAUAUAAAUACAUGUCGAAGAAACAGGCAUCUUAGGCAAUGACUGAGAGCAUUUAUUCCCAUCAAAAAUUGCUCUGGAUCAUCACUAAAAGCUUUAAUGAACCCAGUUUUAUUGGUUUCACGAUACAAUCGCAUUAUGAACGCUACCGUUCCAGUAGAGACAACUCUGUAAGAACCAUAUGUAAGAAAUUAUUUCCUUAGAAAUCGCUUACCUAUCUGCAUGUAAUAAUACAAUUCCAGUGAUUUUUUCUGUUGGAAUAAUUUUUGUCAACAAAUCCAUCACUAAUAUGCGGCUUGUAAUGGCGAAA
Schizosaccharomyces pombe (fission yeast) is the source of this 828-nucleotide non-coding RNA. The record is from the annotation of a GenBank genome assembly. Lineage: Eukaryota; Fungi; Ascomycota; Schizosaccharomycetes; Schizosaccharomycetales; Schizosaccharomycetaceae.